CCCUUAGAUGUCCUGGGCCGCACGCGCGCUACACUGACAUGUUCAACAAGCCUCCUAGUUCGACAGGAUUUGGGAAAUCUUUGAACGCAUGUCGUGAUAGGGAUAGAUCAUUGCAAUUAUUGAUCUUGAACGAGGAAUUCCUAGUAAACGCGAGUCAUCAGCUCGCAUUGAUUACGUCCCUGCCCUUUGUACCCACCGCCCGUCGCACCUACCGAUUGAAUGUUUCGGUGAAGAUUCCGGAUAGGACUUUUUUGAUUUAUUUCAAUUUUGUCUUAAAAGCUAUCUAAACCUCAACAUUUAGAGGAAGGUGAAGUCGUAACA
RNAcentral lists this ribosomal RNA (321 nucleotides) under uncultured eukaryote. Its description in RNAcentral is "partial 18S ribosomal RNA". It matches the Rfam family "Eukaryotic small subunit ribosomal RNA", at positions 1470 to 1796 of the family's 1831-position model. The record is from RNAcentral.